This 74-nucleotide transfer RNA is filed under the name Heyndrickxia sporothermodurans. RNAcentral's name for it is "tRNA-Arg". It matches the Rfam family "tRNA". From Rfam's summary of the family: Transfer RNA (tRNA) molecules are approximately 80 nucleotides in length. The record is from RNAcentral. Lineage: Bacteria; Bacillati; Bacillota; Bacilli; Caryophanales; Bacillaceae.
GGCUCCGUAGCUCAGCGGAUAGAGCGUUGGUUUCCUAAACCAUGCGUCGGAGGUUCGAGUCCUCUCGGGGCCGC